ACGCUGGCGGCAGGCCUAACACAUGCAAGUCGAGCGGUAGAGAGAAGCUUGCUUCUCUUGAGAGCGGCGGACGGGUGAGUAAUGCCUAGGAAUCUGCCUGGUAGUGGGGGAUAACGUUCGGAAACGGACGCUAAUACCGCGUACGUCCUACGGGAGAAAGCAGGGGACCUUCGGGCCUUGCGCUAUCAGAUGAGCCUAGGUCGGAUUAGCUAGUUGGUGAGGUAAUGGCUCACCAAGGCGACGAUCCGUAACUGGUCUGAGAGGAUGAUCAGUCACACUGGAACUGAGACACGGUCCAGACUCCUACGGGAGGCAGCAGUGGGGAAUAUUGGACAAUGGGCGAAAGCCUGAUCCAGCCAUGCCGCGUGUGUGAAGAAGGUCUUCGGAUUGUAAAGCACUUUAAGUUGGGAGGAAGGGCAGUUACCUAAUACGUGAUUGUUUUGACGUUACCGACAGAAUAAGCACCGGCUAACUCUGUGCCAGCAGCCGCGGUAAUACAGAGGGUGCAAGCGUUAAUCGGAAUUACUGGGCGUAAAGCGCGCGUAGGUGGUUUGUUAAGUUGGAUGUGGAAUCCCCGGGCUCAACCUGGGAACUGCAUUCAAAACUGACUGACUAGAGUAUGGUAGAGGGUGGUGGAAUUUCCUGUGUAGCGGUGAAAUGCGUAGAUAUAGGAAGGAACACCAGUGGCGAAGGCGACCACCUGGACUGAUACUGACACUGAGGUGCGAAAGCGUGGGGAGCAAAC
This 745-nucleotide ribosomal RNA is filed under the name uncultured bacterium. RNAcentral's name for it is "bacterial SSU rRNA". It matches the Rfam family "Bacterial small subunit ribosomal RNA", at positions 33 to 773 of the family's 1533-position model. The record is from RNAcentral.